This 305-nucleotide ribosomal RNA is filed under the name uncultured bacterium. Its description in RNAcentral is "bacterial SSU rRNA". It matches the Rfam family "Bacterial small subunit ribosomal RNA", at positions 334 to 656 of the family's 1533-position model. The record is from RNAcentral.
UUUACCUACGGGAGGCAGCAGUGGGGAAUAUUGCACAAUGGGGGAAACCCUGAUGCAGCGACGCCGCGUGAGUGAGGAAGUAUUUCGGUAUGUAAAGCUCUAUCAGCAGGGAAGAAAAUGACGGUACCUGACUAAGAAGCCCCGGCUAACUACGUGCCAGCAGCCGCGGUAAUACGUAGGUGGCGAGCGUUAUCCGGAAUGAUUGGGCGUAAAGGGUGCGCAGGCGGUCCUGCAAGUCUGGAGUGAAACGCAUGAGCUCAACUCAUGCAUGGCUUUGGAAACUGGAGGACUGGAGAGCAGGGGAG